Molecule: ribosomal RNA, 87 nt
Filed under: Monotropa uniflora (ghost pipe)
Lineage: Eukaryota; Viridiplantae; Streptophyta; Magnoliopsida; Ericales; Ericaceae
Description: partial 5.8S ribosomal RNA
Rfam family: 5.8S ribosomal RNA
About the family: 5.8S ribosomal RNA (5.8S rRNA) is a component of the large subunit of the eukaryotic ribosome.
Source: RNAcentral
UGCAGAAUCCCGUGAACCAUCGAGUCUUUGAACGCAAGUUGCGCCUGAAGCCAUUAGGCUAAAGGCACGUCUGCUUGGGCGUCACAC